Pecten maximus is the source of this 1363-nucleotide long non-coding RNA. RefSeq lists it as uncharacterized. NCBI's taxonomy places the organism in Eukaryota, Metazoa, Mollusca, Bivalvia, Pectinida, Pectinidae. The record is from RefSeq and is a predicted model, not a curated record. The transcript is spliced from 2 exons.
UAAUUUGAGCCAUAAUGGAAAGUGGCCAAUGGUUGAAACAGUUGUUCUUAUUGGCAGACGAGUAUAGUGAAAAAGACAUCAUCGUUAACUCCAAUAUCUUGAGCGUCAAGAUUAUGUGUGAAUGUGUGAUACAUGUAUGUAACUUAGAAUGUCCUUAAUGGUAGUAAAUUAUGUGUAUUUAUACCGAAGUAUGAAUUUCAGGUAUAUAUGAUUUACUCUUGUAUAGAAACAAAUACUAUCAAUCACUUUACCUUUGUUAUAAUUUCAUUUCACAAAUUGAGCAUCAAGGAUUUGUUGCGAGUAGUUAAAUUCAUCUAAAGGUUUCAUUUUUUGGAACUUUUGGAAAAUUUGUCAUUAUUUGACACAAAUUGAUCUAAAGCAGUUGAUAUCACUGUGCCACUUUUGUUUGUAGUACUGUAUUUUAUAAACAAGGUCGAGAGUCUUAGUAGUACUCUAUUUUAUAAACAAGGUCGAGAGUCUUAGUAGUACUGUAUUUUAUAAACAAGGUCGAGAGUCUUAGUAGUACUGUAUUUUAUAAACAAGGUCGAGAGUCUGAGUCUAUAGAAAUUAUUUUCUACGUACAUCCAGAAGUAACACUGCAUGUCCAGUUAUUGAAACAAAUGAGAAUUUCUUCAUUUUUUCUCAGUCUAAUUUACUAGUACAGUAUUCAAAUGGAUGUAUUUCUUCAAACAUUAAUUGGAAUAAUAGCAUUACAAAUGUAUUACUAAAAGUAAACUUAUUUUCAAAUGCAAAUAUUAAUGAUAUCUGGGCCUAUUCUUGCUCCUUAAUUUAUGUUGCAUAGUGCAAGUAAAAAAGCUGUACAGUAAAUUUGAAAAAAAAACACAUUGGGUAUCCAAAUAUAUUGCUCACUAUUGCCAAAAAGUGUUUCUGUUCAUGAAUCCAAGAAAUAAUAUGGUGCUUUGCUGCAAAAAAAAUAUUUGCUUUAGAGUGGUUUUAGAAAUACUGAUUCACUGCUGCUAAUUCAACAUGGGGUGGGCUUAUUGUCAGGCAUGGGCUUAUCUUUAGUGAAAUGUGUAGUCUACAGUUUGUUCUGUAUACAUCUGUAGCUUCAUUAGACAUAUACCAAGCUGUUUUAUGGUUCUGAUGCUGAAAGUGAAAGUGAUCAUUGAGGAAAGUUGUUGUAAAUGAUAGGUUUGAUGACAUAUGUGAAUAUUAAAUGAAUAAUGUAACUUCCAUAUGAAGUAAGUGGUGAUAUAGUCAUUAUCACUACUAUAAAUGGAUAAAUCUGGCAUACAUUGUACAUGUAUAUUGUUGUCUGUUUUAUAAGAAUAUAUUUCUAGAAAGUAUUCCCAUUGUGUUAUUUAAAAAUUUUGCCCUCAAAUAAAUCUGAUAACUGCCUACA